This 1695-nucleotide non-coding RNA is filed under the name Pongo abelii (Sumatran orangutan). Lineage: Eukaryota; Metazoa; Chordata; Mammalia; Primates; Hominidae. The record is from RNAcentral.
AGGAUUGCGUGAAGGUAAAUGCAAAUCAGCUCUGCCCAGCGCUUCCCACAGGAAGGUUUUCUGUAUGCGCGCCUGGUUUCCUCCGCCUUCAGCCAGAAUGCUGGCUUUAUUUUUGCGGUUUAUGAGCUUGAGAUAGGGAAUUCAUUUCCUUGAUAUAAUAUGACCCUCUAGAGAAAGUCUUGUCCAGAUAUAUUUUGCUCCCAAACGCCGCCCUAGAAGAAGGGCUAUACUGAAAUGAAACAGAGAUGAUUAAAGUCUGAUUUAUAGACUGUACAAGCCCUGAAAGCAAGAACGGGGUUCACGGCAUCUUGAUACCCCCAUGUGGGGACGUUUUGGCGAUUUUAUUUACAAGAAAGGGAUUUUACACCGGAGAGGCUUUUAAAUAUGCUAACAGACUGGACCAGCUUUCUCAUCCCCACUGGCUGAUUAAUGAUGCCUCCAUGCCAACCCCGUUCUCAGAGACGCCAAGGCCAGGUAAAAGCCACCCCUUCAUCCCCUAAACCUUGCAAGAAGCACAGGGUCCAGAAUUAUGCUUCUUUCAGGUUCUAAAUAGCACAAUAAAACUAAUAACAAUAAGCUUUUAGUUAUUGGAUCAGGUACAUUUUACCUUACAAUAAGCUUUUACUUAUUGGAUCAGGUACCUUUUAAAGCAAUUUUUGAACAUUAUUUCAUUAGAUCCUCACAACCACAGUAUGAGGUAGGUACUAUCAUUCCAUUUGAAGGAUGAGAAAACUGAGGCUCGAAGAUGUUAAAUAACUUGUUCAAGAUCACAGCUAGUCAGUGGACAUACCUGCCAUUCACUGAGUGCUUCCUGUGAGCCAGGCACGGUGACCAUCACAUUAAACCAAUUAUUUAUCUCAUGCAAUAGUGCCUUUGAUCCUUAGGAAGUGGCCUCCAGUGCUUAGAAUUCCAAGCAUUUGGUCCUCUGGAGAUGAGAAACUAUGGGAAGGCAGGGGCUUACUCACCCCUGUAUCCAAAAAGUUGAGGAUGGUGCCAAGGACAGAGAUAGUACCAGGGACUCCAAAAAUACUGAAUGAAAGGACAGUAGAAGUGCUUUCCUGUGGGAUCCCCCAACCUCUCCCUGCCUUCAGGUGAGUCCUGCUGAUGCUCAGGCUGCCCUUGGAACAGGGACCUUGGCCACAGUUUCCUUAUCUGUAGUAAUGGGAUGAGAAUUUCUCCUGCACAGGGUUGUUAGGGACCUAGUGAGGCAGCUUCUAUGGCUGCCUUUGGUGCUUAGUUUUCUCACUUUCUUCUUGAACAUGGGAGUGGGGAGACGGACACCUAAGGGUAUGACACUUGAAGAUUUCAGAAGGGGGCCUGCAGGUUUAUGUCCUCACUUGUUUUUACACCUCACAGAGGUCAGCGAAGCAGGGUAUCACCAAAGCCCCACCUGAUGUCUCUGGAAAUCGAGUACUCCAUGUCUUCACCAGGCCCAUGCCGGCCGUGAGGGGCAGAACCAGGUUUUCUGACACCAAACCCCAGAUUUCUUCCUGUGCUGGCAUGGGUCCUUUUUCUGACUUGGCCAGCAGCCUCUCAUAGAUGGGGGUCUGAUUAAAUAGUUCUGGUGAUGGAUGGAGUGAUGGUUGCACAACAAUAUGAAUGUAUUUAAUGCUACUGAACUGUACACCUGAAAAUGGUUAAAAUGCUACAUUUUAUGUUAUGAAUAUUUCACCACAAUAAAAAAAGAAAGAAAUA